Molecule: long non-coding RNA, 1092 nt
Filed under: Sus scrofa (pig)
Lineage: Eukaryota; Metazoa; Chordata; Mammalia; Artiodactyla; Suidae
Description: lncRNA (ENSSSCG00045016644.1)
Source: RNAcentral
CGCCACAAUCACCCAAACCCAGACGGCAGCACGAGCCAUGUCUCACCUUGGGAUCUCUCCUGCCACCACCGCCAGAGGAGGGGUCUCGGCCCCACGCAGCCUGGCCUGGCCUUCGGCUUCCACCCUAUAAGGGAGACCCAAGAGACAAGGUGACACCCACAGUGAGACGCCAUCGACUGGGCUCCUCGGGCGGUCGGGGAGCCUCUAGGACCCGUCCCCUGGCUUUCGGUCUCUCUGGGCCGCGGAGGACCAGCUGGGCCCCUGUGCAGGACGUCCAAGAGACCUUCCUAGCCAGAGCUGUCCCAUCCCUGGGACGCCAGAGCCCUUCUGGACUGCUGGCCUCGCCCGCAUCUGCCGCCCACCCUCCACCAGCCCCUCGCACUGCCCUGCCCAGCCCAGCCCCGACAAGCCCUGGGAUGCUGCUCACACUGGCCUUCUGGAUCCAGAGACAACGCUGCCAUCCUCGCCUGCUCAUCCAGGAAGGAGCCUGCCUUCGGGUCCGGCGGCUGCACACUGAGGAGUACAAAGCCAAGAGCAGGAGACCCAAUGGCACAGCCAUUCUCCAGGCUCGCGGCUUCCACACACACACCUGGCCAUAGCCUGGCAUGCGGCAUACCAUGGGGGUCACCAAGGACCUGGCAAAUGCCUUCACUCCCUUUCUCUCUAGAUUCAGUUCUCUGAUACUGCCGGACGGGUGCUCACAUUUUCCCAUUGGGCUAACACCAGGAAAACGCUGGAAUGCCCGUGCUCUGUCAGUCACCCUCGUCGUUUCCUGACCUCGGCCUAUUGGGUCACUGCUUUGUGGACAUUGAACCAGAUUCCUCCUUCAGUGGACCUCGGAGUUUCAGACAGGUUUUCAUCGUACAGGACGCAUAUGCCACCAGGAGUCAUCUUCAAUCCAAUACUGUCCCUCCUGCGUUCCUUUAGCUUGACCUUCUUUGUUGAUCAAUUUAUUAAAGGGCUGGGUAAGAUAUCAAUACCCUACCUGAACUUCCAGGGGUCCGUGGGAUGGGAAGGUCUCAUGAUACCUGUCACCAUGGACUGUGCAAUUUGGUCUUGCCUUUACUCCCUCUCCCUUUCGUUUCCUUUUCU